ACAAAUAUCUCUCACUUGGACCCUUUUUUCCCCUUCCUAAAGAGCUUGUCUAUCUUAAGACAGAGUCAACAGAAUGGGAACUUUUAAAUAAUUUCCUAAUUAUUUCUUAUCAACAGAGCUCAUGAAGACACGAGGAGUGGGCUGUGCUGCUGUCCAGCUCCAGAAGACUCCCCCAGAUGCAUACACAAAUGCAUGCACAGUGUUUGUGCGGCCCGUGUCUUCUCUGCACGAGGUGCACAGAGAUGCUCAGGAACGUUUCCACCCCGGCUGAGGCUGGUUGGGCUGUGCAGCGGUGAAGGUGGGAGACUAUUCUGGAAGGAGCUUGCACAGCGUCUGCAGAAACAGAAUAGAAAGAGCCUGGUGCUCUCAGGUGCUGGAGGCAACCUGGCCUGCUCUCAGCCACUCUACUGCGUCUGGCCUCUCUCAACUUCCCCCUCCUACUUCCCCUCCUCCCUCUCAGGUAGAGCAACCACCCACAUGCAGGCCUCAGGGAUGCUGCUGCCCCCGCCACCCACAUAGAGAGGAGCCCAGACAAACACCAGCCUCUCUCCUUCAGGCCUUGCCUCCCCAGGCCUGGAGACAAUCGGCUUCUUCAAGCAUCACCUCUGUACCCAAGCUGAUGUCUGUCACCCCUCCUCCCCUGCCUCUGGCACUCCUUCCUCUGAGCUGUGUCUGCAUGCAGCCUUCAUAUUUACUGUGUCUCCACCAAGUGAUUUGAAAACUAAGGCUUCACCCCCAAGAAGCAACCCCAAAAGCCAUCUGAGGAACUUGUGAUAUUGACAAGGACCUGCAGUGAGACGAUGGUGUGAGGAGGUCUGGCCUCAGGGAAGUGAUCAAGUGCUGGAGGCCAAGUCCCCUGAAGAGACUGGAGCUUCCUCUAGCCAUCUGAACACACUGUGAGGAAGCCUUUCCUCACUUCAGGCAAACCCAAAAGGGAGCUGUCAUCAAACUCCAGCUAUGGCUAUACCUCCCUCUUACCCUUCCAGCCUCCAGAACUGUAGGAAGAUUAGCUUUGGAUGCUUAUACGCCACCAGCUUGUAGCAUUUUGUUAUAGCGGCUCAAGAAGACAAUGUGGAAUAAUGGAAAAUAAGAACGAUGUCAUUAGCUGACCCUGUGUACAAUAUGCAUGAGUGGUCAGCAUUCAUGUGUGACCUAGGCACUGGUGAGACCCUCUUCCCUUUAAACAGUGAAACAGGUGCACACUGU
Molecule: non-coding RNA, 1206 nt
Organism: Rattus norvegicus (Norway rat)
Lineage: Eukaryota; Metazoa; Chordata; Mammalia; Rodentia; Muridae
Source: RefSeq, a predicted model, not a curated record